CCUACGGGUGGCAGCAGUGGGGAAUGUUGCGCAAUGAUCGGAAGAGUGACGCAGCGACGCCGCGUGAAUGACGAAGGCCUUCGGGUCGUAAAGUUCUUUCGACAGGGAAGAAAAUGCCUAUAAGUAACUGUGUAUGUAUUGACGGUACCUGUAUAAGCAGCCCCGGCUAACUCCGUGCCAGCAGCCGCGGUAAUACGGAGGGGGCGAGCGUUGUUCGGAGUGACUGGGCGUAAAGAGCACGUAGGCGGUGUGGUAAGUCAUUAGUCAAAGACUAGAGCUCAAGUUUAGUAAGGCUAGUGAGACUGUAAGACUAGAGUAGAAGAGAGGAUUGCUGAAUGCGUGGUGUAGCGGUGAAAGGCGUAGAUAGCAGGAGGAAUACCGUGGGAGAAGGAGGCAAUCUGGCUGGAAUCGGACGCGGAGGUGCGAAAGCGUGGGUAGCAAACAGGAUGAGAUACCCGAGUAGUC
This 465-nucleotide ribosomal RNA is filed under the name uncultured bacterium. RNAcentral's name for it is "partial 16S ribosomal RNA". It matches the Rfam family "Bacterial small subunit ribosomal RNA", at positions 338 to 795 of the family's 1533-position model. The record is from RNAcentral.